RNAcentral lists this long non-coding RNA (205 nucleotides) under Mytilus galloprovincialis (Mediterranean mussel). The record is from RNAcentral. Lineage: Eukaryota; Metazoa; Mollusca; Bivalvia; Mytilida; Mytilidae.
UUUCUCUUGUUGUCUCCGAAAAUAAUGUGGAGUGUUUCAAUUUGAAAUGAUUAAUUAUAAAAAAGAAGAUGUGGUAUGAUUGCCAAUGAGACAAUUUUCCACAAGAGACCAAAAUGACACAGAAAUUAACAACUAUAAGUCACCGUACGACCUGUUUCUUUGCUUUGUUUGCUUGUUUCUUUAAGCAUGUUACUCGUACUAUCAC